This 497-nucleotide ribosomal RNA is filed under the name uncultured bacterium. RNAcentral's name for it is "partial 16S ribosomal RNA". It matches the Rfam family "Bacterial small subunit ribosomal RNA", at positions 28 to 507 of the family's 1533-position model. The record is from RNAcentral.
GAUGAACGCUGGCGGCGUGCCUAAUACAUGCAAGUCGAGCGAACAGGCGAGGAGCUUGCUCCUCUGACGUUAGCGGCGGACGGGUGAGUAACACGUGGAUAACCUACCUAUAAGACUGGGAUAACUUCGGGAAACCGGAGCUAAUACCGGAUAAUAUAUUGAACCGCAUGGUUCAAUAGUGAAAGACGGUUUUGCUGUCACUUAUAGAUGGAUCCGCGCCGCAUUAGCUAGUUGGUAAGGUAACGGCUUACCAAGGCAACGAUGCGUAGCCGACCUGAGAGGGUGAUCGGCCACACUGGAACUGAGACACGGUCCAGACUCCUACGGGAGGCAGCAAUAGGGAAUCUUCCGCAAAGGGCGAAAGCCUGACGGAGCAACGCCGCGUGAGUGAUGAAGGUCUUCGGAUCGUAAAACUCUGUUAUUAGGGAAGAACAAAUGUGUAAGUAACUAUGCACGUCUUGACGGUACCUAAUCAGAAAGCCACGGCUAACUACGUG